Molecule: long non-coding RNA, 297 nt
Organism: Nematolebias whitei (Rio pearlfish)
Lineage: Eukaryota; Metazoa; Chordata; Actinopteri; Cyprinodontiformes; Rivulidae
Exons: 3
Source: RefSeq, a predicted model, not a curated record
GACAAGUUGGACCUGCCACAGUACUGCAAGCAAACAGGCGUACUGUUCCUGGUCCCCGGCCCGGAACAUUACAGAUCUUCAGUUCUUCUACAGAUUAUCUGAUGAGCCUUCAACUGAAACUCAGUGUUCGUUGUACAAGUCGCUUGGUGAUGGGAAGACUGGUUGUGAUCUGCAGGCGACUGACGUCACCAUCUUUGUUGGAUUUAUUGCAACAGUCAACAACACGCUGGUUAGGAACACCUUCAAGAAAGAUCUUUUAUGGGACGUGAGACCUCCUGCCCUCACAUGGAACAUCAC